GGGAGGCAGGAUGGAGGAGAGGACAGAAGGGUUGAUUUUUAUUCCUGUGAAUUUGCAGGAGUGACCUCCCAUGAUUUUCUGAGACCCAAAGGAGCUGAGGAGCUACAGGAGCAGUGUACAUUGGGGUGCCCAGCUCUGGAUUCACAUCCCUGCUGCUUGGAGAAGGUGUCUCUGGCUGCAAGGGAGCCCAUUCUUGGGACACAGGUUGUUCCUUCAAGUGCUCCAGAAAGCCAAAGGGUUUUUUUCCCACCCACUCCAGACCUCAGCAGAGCUUGCUGUGCUUCUGGGAGAUUGAUCCCAGCUCACACAUCCUCACAGCAAUGCUCUGCCUCAGGCUGAACUCAGCUGCCCUGGCACUGCCCCGUGCCCUCUGCAGGCUCCAGUCAGGCCACGUCCCUCUGGCACUUCCAUGGGAUCCCAUGUGGUCAGUUCCAGCCAUGUUCAGGAAUUAGGCUUUUCUGCUACAAUGUAUUAACAGAUCAUUUCCACCUCAGCCCUGGACUUGUAUUAACCUCUGAUCCCUGUGCAGAAGACCCAUUUUCUAUAAAGUCCAACAAACCCUGUCAAGUUUUAGCUCAUGUGAGAUCUUAUUGCAGAGAACAGACCAUAGGUGGGGAAACUGAGGCAAGAGACAGUGAACAAAUUGGGUCAGUCUGCUGAGGUCAAAUCUGCCACGGGGCCACACAAUCCCCAAAUUUGGGAUGGACCCAAAUUUGUCCAUCCAUGGACACAAGUGAGCAGCUCUCCUGUGACCUCCAGCAUCUCACCUCCAGCCGUGCUGCUGCUUACCAUGGAAAAGUCACAUUAGGAAAGUAUGUGAUGUAUUUUUAACUGUCUAUAAUGCAAUUUAACAGCUGGAAAGGAGGAAGAACUCCAACCCCAUGCAAUCCAACAGAUCUCUGCUGUCUGCAAGCGAGGGCUCUGUGGACUCAGGGGUUUUGGUAUGGUUGAAGACCUUGUUUGGGAAAAGGGCAGGAAACAACCUCAUC
This 989-nucleotide long non-coding RNA is filed under the name Serinus canaria (Common canary). Its description in RNAcentral is "lncRNA (ENSSCAG00000004998.1)". The record is from RNAcentral. Lineage: Eukaryota; Metazoa; Chordata; Aves; Passeriformes; Fringillidae.